Non-coding RNA from Podospora fimiseda, 109 nucleotides. NCBI's taxonomy places the organism in Eukaryota, Fungi, Ascomycota, Sordariomycetes, Sordariales, Podosporaceae. The record is from the annotation of a GenBank genome assembly.
GUCCCCGUAGCACAGUGGUUAGCACCUAAAAAGAUCUUUCAGCGUUUUGAUUUAAUCUGAACUACCUAAAAGACACCAGGAGACGUCGGUUCGAAUCCGACCGGGGACA